This 447-nucleotide ribosomal RNA is filed under the name uncultured bacterium. RNAcentral describes it as "bacterial SSU rRNA". It matches the Rfam family "Bacterial small subunit ribosomal RNA", at positions 329 to 792 of the family's 1533-position model. The record is from RNAcentral.
UUCCAGACUCCUACGGGAGGCAGCAGUGGGGGAUAUUGCACAAUGGGGGGAACCCUGAUGCAGCGACGCCGCGUGGGUGAAGGAGCGUUUCGGCGCGUAAAGCCCUAUCGGCAGGGAAGAAGGAGGACGGUACCUGACUAAGAAGCCCCGACUAACUACGUGCCAGCAGCCGCGGUAAUACGUAGGGGGCAAGCGUUAUCCGGAUUUACUGGGUGUAAAGGGGGCGCAGACGGCAGCGCAAGCCAGGAGUGAAAGCCCGGGGCCCAACCCCGGGACUGCUCUUGGAACUGCGCGGCUGGAGUGCAGGAGGGGCAGGCGGAAUUCCUGGUGUAGCGGUGAAAUGCGUAGAUAUCGGGAGGAACACCAGUGGCGAAGGCGGCCUACUGGGCACUAACUGACGCUGAGGCUCGAAAGCAUGGGUAGCAAACAGGAUUAGAUACCCUUGUA